CAUGUAUUUGUAUCUCUGCAAAAGACGACUGCAUUCGUAAUUGGGUUGUAUAAGCGUUUAGUAUACCACUAGGAUGCUCGGCACAAGUUUUUACCGCAGCGUCUCAUAGUCUUCAUUGAUGUGGAGUAGGGCAAAGGGAGUCGUAAUUUUUGGUAUCAAUGACCUUCACCGCGUUGUUGUCGUUGUCGUCGUCACAUUUAUUGUUGAUGGGCUACGGUGCUGUUUGCUUUCGUUAUUGGAAUGGAUAUUGGAGCGCACACAUACUCUUUACAAACGAUGUCAUGGUAAAAGAGAGUAGAGGAAUGCAAGCAGUUUGCUUUCAUACUUAGAACAUCAAUCGCGGUAAACGUUUAAUAACUUAUAAGUAUACUUGAAAAUAAUAGGCGAAAAAUUGCUAAAUUUGCACCGUAUAAGUUUAUACUCGCAUAACAUCUAACUCUUAUAAAUUAUGCCUGAAUCGGAAUCGGCUUGGAAGAGCGUACUCACCGAGGCAAAACAACAACUAUUAUCUCUCGCUGAUGCGCACGAAGUAAUGCAAGGAUGUGGUACAUUUUUAAAGAAGGUGUAAAAGCCUUGGGUUAAACGGUUAGCAAAUCAAAUUUUCAAGCUACCUGCAAAAACAAAUGCAGUGAAACAGGAUAUAACAUAGUUCACUAUAGCCGGGCAUAAUAACAACACGUAUGGUCGCCUGCUUGGACUUCAUCAAUUCUUUUUUCGGUUCUUUAAUAAUACUUUUGGAUGAAAUUUUUAAGAACUAAAGAAUUACUAUAAAAAACAUUUCGGACCUUACCAAUAAUUAUAAUUAUGUAAAUUAUAAUCAGCAUGUAAACAAAAAAAAUAGGUAGGUAUUGAAACAAAACAUUGA
Long non-coding RNA from Anastrepha obliqua, 865 nucleotides. RefSeq lists it as uncharacterized. The record is from RefSeq and is a predicted model, not a curated record. The transcript is spliced from 3 exons. NCBI's taxonomy places the organism in Eukaryota, Metazoa, Arthropoda, Insecta, Diptera, Tephritidae.